Molecule: long non-coding RNA, 1178 nt
Filed under: Monodelphis domestica (gray short-tailed opossum)
Lineage: Eukaryota; Metazoa; Chordata; Mammalia; Didelphimorphia; Didelphidae
Description: lncRNA (ENSMODG00000037781.1)
Source: RNAcentral
NNNNNNNNNNNNNNNNNNNNNNNNNNUGACCUUCUUGUUGGUUUCUCUUCUUGUUGGUUUCUUCAGUCUGUUCAGCCGAAGCAGUCUUCACAUGCUGGGUGAGCAAAGCCCGGGUUCACCAGGGGUCAAUGACCCGAUGGCUACCCUCACAAGGUUUAGCCGGCCUGUCGAAGCCGUUGCCCGGGGUGUGGCCGCUGCCACAUGCUAGCAGCUACUGGGGGCCACAAGGGAGAGCUGGGUGUCAGGUGGGGGUCAGAGGCUGGAGAGCUGCCCUAGGAGGGCAUGACAAGCCCCCCAUACCAAGGUGCUACCCCUCCCUGAGCAGAACUCGGGUUCAAAUCCCGCCUCAGGCGUCAGCUGCCCACGUGACCUCGGACGAGCCUCAUGAUCCCCUGUGCCUCAGUUUCCUCACCUGCAAAAUGGAAAGAGGAGAAAUCGGACAGCCUCUCAGGGCCCUCCAUCUCCCUGGGGCAGCCCAGUGCCCAGAGGGGUGUCUACACCUGCCCAGGGAAAGCUUGGCUGAGGCGGUUCUUGACCAAGAAGGCGGAGCCUCACUGAAGUUCCUUGACCUCCACCCGAUGGACAGAAGGAGCAGCGAGUGGCCGGAUCCGCUGGGCUGUUUGGGUUUCUGCCUCCGGGAGGGGCCGAGGCCAAGGCUGGGACUGUGGCCUUGGGGGAAGGGCAGGAGCAGGAGGAGCCCCAGAGAUGUGGGAGGGAAGAGCCUCGGACCACGCCCCGGUGCACACGCCCCGCCGGCCCAAAUGGCCCAACCUCAGCAGAUGCCCCAACACCAAGGGGGGGUGCCGCAGCGGGGGGAGCCACCGGGCACUCUGGUCAGCGGUUCUGGGCGGAGACUGGACGGCUCAGGCAGUGUCUGCUGCGGACACAGGCUGACCGCAAGCCUCCCUCGUCACUCAUGUGGGCUCCCGAGCGCAGAGCCGGCGGGCGUCCUCUCGGCCUCGCUUCUGCCCCUCUUCUUUUCCGGUGGAAACGCAGAAGCCGCCGAGUCUGUCGGGCACCGACUGCGUGGGAGCAGCUGCGGCCCCUCGGCCUGGCGGACGGGCGGUCUGGCCCGGCCUCUUGUCCCUCCUCCGGCCCAGGAAUGCCUCACGUGAGGGACGCGGAGCAUCCCAAGAGCUGCGCUGGGCCACAGACGGGGCUCCGAGGCCCCUCCGGCA